Molecule: non-coding RNA, 1064 nt
Organism: Zonotrichia albicollis (white-throated sparrow)
Lineage: Eukaryota; Metazoa; Chordata; Aves; Passeriformes; Passerellidae
Source: RefSeq, a predicted model, not a curated record
AGAGACACCUUUGGCUGGCUGGGUGUUGCAGCUGGGAACUGAACCAGUCCAGGCUUGUAGAAACUCAGUUUACCUCAGGUGGAAGGGCUUCAGGCUAAGGUGAAGAGGAAGCCCAUGGGUUUGCUCCCGUACUCACUGUAGGGAGUGCAUGUUGUCGGCAAUUUGGGCAUGUGUCCACAAUCACUUUCAACACAUGUGAAGGUCCGCCCGAAAUGAACGGGUGACAAAUGAUUUUUGGGUGCAAAAAUAACCAACAAAGGCACAAGGGUUUUGCAGUAACAAAUCAACAAGAUGCAAUUUAUUGAUGAUAACUACAGCUAAAUAUGCGUUAGGUUAGAGGAUCCGGGGAAGAGAAGGGUAGGACAAGGGAAAAAGGGAGGAAAGAACGUUAGGGAAUGGGGUAUAGCUACCAAGACGUGAUGUCUUCGGGGUCCUGCCGCCGAUGCUCGCUGGUACACGUCUUUGGGAGAUCUCAGAGAGGCAGUCGAACCAAACCCCAGAUAUACUGUUCUUGGUUGGGGGAAGGGUGGCCAAAAUUAGGUUUCCAUGGAGGGGAAAAGGACAGAUUAUUCCAUUGUUUUCAUGGCCGAAUGCUCCCAGGUACGUUUACUCUGGGCAGGUUCUCCCCCUUCCUUGAGUUGGGAGGGGGUACAGUCCCAGUCUCUGGAAGGAGGUGGCCAGGGGGAUGCCAUGGGGAUGCCAAUAGGGUGCCAGUAGGGUGCCAGAGGGGUUCUUGGUUCUUUGAUGAGCGGAUUCGCAUCUCUGUGGGUCCGUCAUGGUGAUUGAAGACAGGCAAGAGGGGUCUUCUUGGAGGGGAGGGGAGCCACCCCAGAGCUCAGUCCAGCCAGGCCUGAAGUUUUGGAAGAAAGUCCAGUUCCAUUGUUCAGAACAGGGCAGCAUGCCCCUUCGAGUACAGCAUGGCAUGUUCUGCAGACACCAUCUGUAAACACACUAAAUACGCAUGAGACUUUCUUUCCCAACUGGCUCAACAUUUUUUAACCCUUCGGCGGUCCUUUUCUCAUGACAAUUGUGAGGCAAAAACUGAAGGAUUUCCGGAUGGACUU